GUAGGGCCAAUGAGUUGGAGACAUUUUAGAGUAUGCCAUAACUGAGAAACUUUGGAUAUAGAGGGAAACUAACCAAUUUUUAAAGGAAGAUUUCCAAUUAAAAUCAGUGUGAACCCCCAAACCAUUACCAUUUUGUCUAAAUAAACUUCACUGGUUUCUGUUUAAGCAAACAUUAUUGAGUUUUGAGGAUUUGAACUCUAGUUUCUACUACUGCCAAAUUAUGCAAAGACUAGACUACAUAGGCUCCUAGUAUUUAUUAGGAUUAUACAUUGGUGAGCAUAUCAUGUGAGGAUCACAUAAAGGUGUCGUUAGUAAGAAUGGAAACUUCUAAGUAAGCAAGUGAGAUCUGGGAGUAAAUCCUGGCCCAUCGUCUGUCAUAAAUGUUGUCUUAAAUAAGCUUCAUUAAGUUGCAAGAUGUAUAAACCUAUUCAGACUAGCAAAAAGUAUUCUAUUUCAAGGACCCGUGGAUAAUUUCACAGGAUUGAGGAAUAUGGCAAUCAACCAGCUCUCAUAAGGGCAUAACCAGCUACUUGUUAGAAAACCAAAAAAAAAAAAAAAAAAAAAAAGCAAAAACAAACAAACAAAAAACCAUCAGGAGCCCAGGAAGCCACUCUAUCCAGCUCUGUGGGAACAGAUUACAAUGUAUCUAUCUCUUUUUCCCCUUCAACUAUGUGUAUCCUUUUUUUUCCUUGUAAGUAUUGAGACUAAUGUCAUAAAGUGGCUUCUCCCACCCUCUGGCUUCAUCACCCUCCAGCUUCAGUGCCACUACCUAAAUUCCAGAGAGAAUGAAUCUGAUUGAUCCAGCUCAUGUGAGUUGCCCACAUGUACUCUGAUUAUCACAGAGUACAAAUAUGGCUACAGGGGCCCAAUUUCUUUGGACUGGGAAAAACUUUCAGAGAAAAGGGACAAAGGGUGGCAUGAGACACCUCCUAAUUUGACUACCCAUUUAGACACAAACUAGCAAGUUUUUGCAAAGAUUGAGCCUACCUUCCAACAUUCCUCAAUGCCUCUUUCCUCCUUCUUGCUAAAAGCCUUUCUCUCCAUAUAUAGACCUUCUGCCCAUUCAGUCUCAUUGAAAUCUUGAUAAAGGCUGAGACUUCACCUGAUUGUUCCCAGGACCCUGUCUAAUGAGACCCCAGUUGCUGGAGAAAAUAUCUGUCUAGUCAGGCUCUCUCUCACUGUGAAAGGCACUGAGAGGAUUUAAUUCGUAGAGUGAUUAGAAUCUGAUUUCCUAGAUACUAAUUAUCUGCGUGCCAGCCAGAGUUAGCAGGAAACCUCCUUCAAGGGGCAUGGCACGCAGAUAAUUAGUAUCUAGGAAAUCAGAUUCUAAUCACUCUACGAAUUAAAUCCUCUCAGUGCCUUUCACAGUGAGAGAGAGCCUGACUAGACAGAUAUUUUCUCCAGCAACUGGGCUCUCAUUAGACAGGGUCCUGGGAACAAUCAGGUGAAGUCUCAGCCUUUAUCAAGAUUUCAAUGAGACUGAAUGGGCAGAAGGUCUAUAUAUGGAGAGAAAGGCUUUUAGCAAGAAGGAGGAAAGAGGCAUUGAGGAAUGUUGGAAGGUAGGCUCAAUCUUUGCAAAAACUUGCUAGUUUGUGUCUAAAUGGGUAGUCAAAUUAGGAGGUGUCUCAUGCCACCCUUUGUCCCUUUUCUCUGAAAGUUUUUCCCAGUCCAAAGAAAUUGGGCCCCUGUAGCCAUAUUUGUACUCUGUGAUAAUCAGAGUACAUGUGGGCAACUCACAUGAGCUGGAUCAAUCAGAUUCAUUCUCUCUGGAAUUUAGGUAGUGGCACUGAAGCUGGAGGGUGAUGAAGCCAGAGGGUGGGAGAAGCCACUUUAUGACAUUAGUCUCAAUACUUACAAGGAAAAAAAAGGAUACACAUAGUUGAAGGGGAAAAAGAGAUAGAUACAUUGUAAUCUGUUCCCACGGAGCUGGAUAGAGUGGCUUCCUGGGCUCCUGAUGGUUUUUUGUUUGUUUGUUUUUGCUUUUUUUUUUUUUUUUUUUGGUUUUCUAACAAGUAGCUGGUUAUGCCCUUAUGAGAGCUGGUUGAUUGCCAUAUUCCUCAAUCCUGUGAAAUUAUCCACGGGUCCUUGAAAUAGAAUACUUUUUGCUAGUCUGAAUAGGUUUAUACAUCUUGCAACUUAAUGAAGCUUAUUUAAGACAACAUUUAUGACAGACGAUGGGCCAGGAUUUACUCCCAAAUCUCACUUGCUUACUUAGAAGUUUCCAUUCUUACUAACGACACCUUUAUGUGAUCCUCACAUGAUAUGCUCACCAAUGUAUAAUCCCAAUAAAUACUAGGAGCCUAUGUAGUCUAGUCUUUGCAUAAUUUGGCAGUCGUAGAAACUAGAGUUCAAAUCCUCAAAACUCAAUAAUGUUUGCUAAAACAGAAACCAGUGAAGUUUAUUUAGACAACAUGGUAAUGGGUUGGGUGUUCACACUGAUUUUAAUUGGAAAUCUUCCUUUAAAAAUUGGUUAGUUUCCCUCUAUAUCCAUAGUUUCUCAGUUAUGGCAUACUCUAAAAUGUCUCCAACUCAUUGGCCCUACAUAUCUCUACCCAUCAUCAUUUUCCACUGCUGCUGUCUUCCACUUCACCUCCAAAACAGAAGUCACCUCAUGAAGCCACAUCAGGUGUUUCUAAGGCAGCACCAAGAUCUCCCAGCUGGGUAUACCCCUUUCUUCCUUGCUGUCCACAGAGGCAUCUAUAAAGUAUAAUUCUUUUUCACAUCUCUUAAGGUUGGGAGAUUGAGGGGCUAUUGACACUGGGAAAAUGGGGAUGAAAUGUGAGGCCUUAUCAGCAGAUCAUCAUCCAGCAUGAAGAGUGAUGGUGAGACCUCUUGCUGCCUAUGCAAGCAUGCAGUGGACAGAGAAAACUAAACAUGAAUCCAAGUGUCAGAAUGAGCAAUCUGCCUCAUUUUAAAUUCUUGGAAGCUUUCAGUUAAAUGAGACUCCCUCAAACACUGAUAAAUUCAGAUUGAGAAAAACAAAGUUUUGUAUUUGAUUAGCAGAUUGCAUUUCUCUGCUAUGGGCAACAAAUAUCUGCUGUAUUUCAGUGAACUAUAGGGGGAGCAUAUCACAGUAUAUCUGCCUUCCAGUGUAUAUUUUGUAAGACGACUGUGUGAUGGUUAACUUUAUGUGUCAAGUUGACUGGGCCACGGGGAUCUCAGACUUUUGGCCAAACAUUAUUCUGGGUAUGUCUAUAUUUCUGGAUGAGAUUAAUAUUUGAAUCAGACUGUAUAAAGAAUAUUGCCCUCCCUAGUGUGGGGGUGGGGUGCUCAUCCAAGCAAUUAGAGACCUAGGUAGAACAGAAAGGCUGAGUAAAAGGGAAAUCCUCCUGCCUGACUUCUUGAGCUGGAACAUUGGUCUUCUGCUGCCCUCAGACUGGGACUUACACCAUUGGUUCUUCUGGUUCUCAGGUCUUCAGACUAAGACUGGAUAUACACAUUGGCUUUCCUGGGUCUUCAGCUUCCAAGCUGUAGAUCUUGGGAAUUCUCAAACUACAUAAUUCUUUGAGCCAAUCUCUCUCUCUCUCUCUCUCUCUCUCUGUCUCUCUCUCGCUCUCUCUCUCAUUCUCUGUAUGUGUGUGUGUGUGUGUGUGUGUACAGAGGAUUCUUGACUUAUAAUGGUUCAACUUACAAUUUUUUUGACAUUGUGAUACAUUUAUCGGGAUGUAACCCCAUCCUAAGUUGCGGAGUACAUAUAUGUAUAUAUUGGUUCUAUUUCUCUGGAGGACCCUAACAAGUACAGACUGAGAGAGUGGCUUUGUGAAGGUCCAGAAGCCAAGACAAGCAAAUUGAUGGAGUAUAGAAACUGAAAGCAUAGGUGUUGCAUGCAGCUUGGCCUGUGUUAGAACCCGGCUCUGUCAUUUAAUAUCUCUGAGUCUUAAUUUGCUCCUUUGGAAAAUGGAAAAAAUAAUAGUGCCUGAACCAAAGGGUAAUUGUGAACCUUAAGUAGGAUUAAUAUGGGCGUUUGCUUUGUCAGUUGCUCAGCACCUGACUCUUGGCAAGUGCUUGAUGAAUG
This 4015-nucleotide long non-coding RNA is filed under the name Homo sapiens (human). RNAcentral's name for it is "HSALNT0228580". Lineage: Eukaryota; Metazoa; Chordata; Mammalia; Primates; Hominidae. The record is from RNAcentral.